AAUGAGUUUUAUUCUUGCUUGAAAAUUUAUGUAAUCUAGAUUUUACAUGUUAAUUUUUGUGUGGAUAUUGAGUACUUAAAUAGUUUAGUUUUAUUCGCAGUAUUUAAUAUUAUAAAUUAAGGUGACUUAGAUUUAGUUUUAGAUUUUGGUUUUGGUUAAAUUCGUGCCAGCUACCGCGGUUAUACGAUGAAUAGUAGUAAAUUAUAUUAGUUUUGGAGUUAAUAUGUUUAUUUGGGAUGAUUGUUUUAUUUUUAGGGUAGAAUUUAUUAAUAUUUGGGGUUUCUGUAAAAAUUAUGAAGCUUUGAAACUUUUAGGAAUAAACUAGGAUUAGAUACCCUAUUAUUGAAAGUGUAAAUUAUUAAAAUUUGAGUAGUAGUAAAUAGGAUCUUGAAACUCAAAGAAUUUGGCGGUGUUUUAGUCUAUUCAGAGGAAUCUGUUCUAUAAUCGAUAAUUCACGAUUGGGUGAACUUAAUCUUUAGGAUUUGUAUACCGCCGUCAUCAGAAUAUUUUUGUAGAAAUUAAUUUUCUUAAUAUCUAAUUGGGUAAAAUGUCAGGUCAAGGUGCAGUUGAUGGUUAAGUAGAAAUGGGUUACAAUAAAAUUAUUUAUAUGGAGUUAGUUUUGAAGAUUUAAUGAAGGUGGAUUUGAUAGUAAUUAUAACUUAAAUUUUAUAAUGAUUUAAGCUCUAGAACAUGCACACAUCGCCCGUCGCUCUCAUUUAUUAAAUGAGAUAAGUCGUAACAAAGUAGGUGUACUGGAAAGUGUGCCUAGAAUGUC
Molecule: non-coding RNA, 775 nt
Filed under: Homogryllacris parcibrevipenna
Lineage: Eukaryota; Metazoa; Arthropoda; Insecta; Orthoptera; Gryllacrididae
Description: 12S ribosomal RNA
Rfam family: Microsporidia small subunit ribosomal RNA (bases 368-768)
Source: RNAcentral